Molecule: long non-coding RNA, 992 nt
Filed under: Struthio camelus australis
Lineage: Eukaryota; Metazoa; Chordata; Aves; Struthioniformes; Struthionidae
Description: lncRNA (ENSSCUG00000007226.1)
Source: RNAcentral
CGCUACUGGCAUACCCUGGGGUCAAUAGUGAGGCCAGUACUAUUUAACAUCUUCGUUAAUGACCUGGAUGAUAGGAGAGAGUGUGCCCUCAGCAAGUUUGCAGAUGAUACAAGACUAGGAGGUGUGGCUGAUACACCAGAGGGCUGUGCUGCCGUUCAGAGGGACUUUGACACGCUGGAGGAAUGGACCAACAGGAACCCCAUGAAGUUCAACAAAGGCAAGUAUUUGUACAAGCAAGUGAAGCCUGGCUAAGUUGGAGGCAAAAAAAAAAAAGUAAAGGACAGUCUGAAAAACACUACCAGAAAUGAGCAAGCUGCUACUACUGCUGUCCGAAGGGAAACUCAGAGCGACACUGAAGAUUCCUCGAGGCCUGUCUGAAAGUUGCGCUGCAUUACCUUGGACUACUUUGCAGACUGUUUCUGCAAAGUGUCUCCGGUUGUGUGACUGCCUAAACGACUGUUACAGCAGAGAGAUGUUGACACUGUCCUAUUUAGGACAUGGAAAAAAAAUGAUGGCUGUGACAGAAAGGACAAGCUUCUCUCAAGUCUUUGCUAAGAAUGAGUUUUUCUUAUCCUUAGGCAGAAUGGGUUUACUCUGGCCUCAAGACUGUUCUCAGUCGUCCCUACAAGCUAUUCAAGAGAGCAAAAGGAACGUCCUCUUUGACUGGAACAAAAGGAGAAGCAUAGAUGUGCGUUUGAGGCCCACCCCUACUGGAUGGGAAGACGAGUCGCAAAGCGGCAUCUGCGUUGGGUCCAGCAUUUCUGACACCAAUGACUCUGUUGCGCUUAAUGUCUUUUUCUGGAUGAUGUAGAAAUUCCUGUGCUAACAAGAAUUUUAUUCAGGUACGUGAUUCUGAUAAGGUGGGUCUGCGAGCAAAACUUAGACAAACAUUUGAUUUUGGACUGUUGUGGGGAAUAAGUACUGACCUAGAUUGGCAGUUAGUCUGACCAGCUGUGCAGAUCCUAACGUCUUGGAGGUGAGUUGAGGAGAAG